GAAUGAUGAGAUCUCCUAGCUGGCACCAGUCAGACACAGACGGCCUUUUAAGGCUGUCGCUGUUGAUUAGCUUUCAGUCCGGGAACGCUACCCGCGAUCCUGAA
This 104-nucleotide small nucleolar RNA is filed under the name Aspergillus cristatus. Its description in RNAcentral is "A. fumigatus snoRNA Afu_190". It matches the Rfam family "A. fumigatus snoRNA Afu_190". Lineage: Eukaryota; Fungi; Ascomycota; Eurotiomycetes; Eurotiales; Aspergillaceae. The record is from Rfam by way of RNAcentral.